UGGGGAAUAUUGCACAAUGGGCGCAAGCCUGAUGCAGCCAUGCCGCGUGUAUGAAGAAGGCCUUCGGGUUGUAAAGUACUUUCAGCGAGGAGGAAGGCGUUGUGGUUAAUAACCGCAGCGAUUGACGUUACUCGCAGAAGAAGCACCGGCUAACUCCGUGCCAGCAGCCGCGGUAAUACGGGGGGUGCAAGCGUUAAUCGGAAUUACUGGGCGUAAAGCGCACGCAGGCGGUCUGUCAAGUCGGAUGUGAAAUCCCCGGGCUCAACCUGGGAACUGCAUCCGAAACUGGCAGGCUAGAGUCUUGUAGAGGGGGGUAGAAUUCCAGGUGUAGCGGUGAAAUGCGUAGAGAUCUGGAGGAAUACCGGUGGCGAAGGCGGCCCCCUGGACAAAGACUGACGCUCAGGUGCGAAAGCGUGGGGAGCAAACA
This 427-nucleotide ribosomal RNA is filed under the name uncultured bacterium. Its description in RNAcentral is "partial 16S ribosomal RNA". It matches the Rfam family "Bacterial small subunit ribosomal RNA", at positions 355 to 774 of the family's 1533-position model. The record is from RNAcentral.